CGGGGUGCAGCAGGCGCGAAAACUUUGCAAUACACGAAAGUGUGACAGGGUUAUCCCGAGUGCCGACCGCUGAGGUUGGCUUUUACCCAGUCUAGAAAGCUGGGGGAAUAAGGAGAGGGCAAGUCUGGUGUCAGCCGCCGCGGUAAUACCAGCUCUCCGAGUGGUGUGGACGUUUAUUGGGCCUAAAGCAUCCGUAGCUGGCUGGACAAGUCCCCUGUUAAACCCACCGAUUUAAUCGUUGGCGUGCGGGGGAUACUGCUCGGCUAGGGGACGAGAGAGGCAGACGGUAUUCCCGGGGUAGGGGUGAAAUCCUAUAAUCCCGAGAAGACCACCAGUGGCGAAGGCUGUCUGCUAGAACGCGCCCGACGGUGAGGGAUGAAAGCUGGGGGAGCGAACCGGAUUAGAUACCCGGGUAGUCCCAGCUGUAAACGAUGCAGACUAGGUGUUUGGACGGCCACGUGCCGUUCUAGUGCCGCAGGGAUGCUGUUAAGUCUGCCGCCUGGGGAGUACGAUCGCAAGAUUGAAACUUAAAGGAAUUGGCGGGGGAGCAC
RNAcentral lists this ribosomal RNA (551 nucleotides) under uncultured archaeon. Its description in RNAcentral is "bacterial SSU rRNA". It matches the Rfam family "Archaeal small subunit ribosomal RNA", at positions 326 to 879 of the family's 1478-position model. The record is from RNAcentral.